RNAcentral lists this long non-coding RNA (238 nucleotides) under Fukomys damarensis (Damara mole-rat). RNAcentral describes it as "lncRNA (ENSFDAG00000021602.1)". Lineage: Eukaryota; Metazoa; Chordata; Mammalia; Rodentia; Bathyergidae. The record is from RNAcentral.
CCAGAAGACAGCGCCAGAGACAUAGCUAACCUCAAAACAGAGCUAAGGAAUGGGUGAAUGAAGGAAAGCCUCUGUCGAGAAGCAUGGAGAAUGAAACGGGCUUGAAGACCGAUAACUGACUUACGGUGGGGGAAGCCCAAUUAAUGUGCUCUUGCGUUCUCUGGAGCACAGCCUCCUGGAUCUGAUUCUUUGAAGACUGUCUUGAGGUGGUUGGUCCAAAUGUCAACAACAAACUAAG